RNAcentral lists this ribosomal RNA (253 nucleotides) under uncultured bacterium. RNAcentral describes it as "partial 16S ribosomal RNA". It matches the Rfam family "Bacterial small subunit ribosomal RNA", at positions 524 to 776 of the family's 1533-position model. The record is from RNAcentral.
UACAGAGGUCUCAAGCGUUGUUCGGAUUCAUUGGGCGUAAAGGGUGCGUAGGUGGCGUCGUAAGUCAGGUGUGAAAUCUCGGGGCUUAACUCCGAAAUUGCAUUCGAUACUGCCGUGCUCGAGGACUGGAGAGGAGACUGGAAUUCAUGGUGUAGCAGUGAAAUGCGUAGAGAUCAUGAGGAAGACCAGUGGCGAAGGCGGGUCUCUGGACAGUUCCUGACACUGAGGCACGAAGGCCAGGGGAGCAAACGGG